GACGAACGCUGGCGGCGUGCUUAACACAUGCAAGUCGAACGGAAAGGCCCUGCUUUUGUGGGUUUUGCGAGUGGCGAACGGGUGAGUGACACGAGAGUGUACGGACCCUGCCUUUGGGAGAACAAUAGGAGACUGGGGUUAUUACCGGAAAGGAGCAUGUGCUACAUAUUGGGUGUUGGAAAGGGGAGGCGGGUGGUGAUGGACUCGCGGGUUUUGAGUUUGUUUGUGGGGUAGUGGGGUACCAAGGCUUUGACGGGUAGCCAGCCUGAGAGGGUGACCGGACCCAUUGGGACUGAGGUAGAGCCCAGACUGCUACGGGAGGCAGGAGUGGGGAAUAAUGCACGAUGGGCGGAGGCCUGAUGCAGGAACGCCGCGUGCGGGAUGACGGCCUUCGGGUUGUAAACCGCUUUCGCCUGUGACGAAGCGUGAGUGACGGUAAUGGGUAAAGAAGCACCGGCUAACUACGUG
Molecule: ribosomal RNA, 468 nt
Filed under: uncultured bacterium
Lineage: Bacteria
Description: partial 16S ribosomal RNA
Rfam family: Bacterial small subunit ribosomal RNA
Source: RNAcentral